GCGACAACAGGCAGUGAUUAGAGCAGCGGGUCUGAUAGUUGCAGGUGUAAGUAGUGCAGUGUGUGGAGGGUUGCCGCAUAAAGGAUGGAAGAUAGCAUCGACACUAUUUUGUUACAUAAAUCAACCAAAUUCCUUUUUAAUGAAGAAUCUCACUCGCAAGCACCAUGGGCUAUAGCCGGCGGGACCGCCACCAUGUAUGCUCUGUGGAGCCUGUUUGUUUUACCAGGUUUCCGCCAAGUUCCCUGGAAGCUUAAGGUCCCAUACUUACCUUCUGGCAAGAUUCAAACUGCUAAUGUGAUAAAACUAUUACAAGGACGGAAAGGAAGAUUGGUUGACCUUGGAUCAGGAGAUGGAAGACUGGUUUUUGCUGCAGCGUCUAUGGGAUUACAUAGCACUGGCUAUGAGUUAAAUUCAUUCUUGAUAAAUUGGGCAAAAGUUAAGGCGUAUCAGAGAGGGAUUUCUCAGGAGCAAGCAACUUUCCUCAAGCAGGAUUUUUGGAAAGCUAAUCUAUCAAAGUACAAUCAUGUGACUGUGUUUCUGGCACCGAGUGUUGUUGAAACAGUGAAGAAGAAGUUAGCUGAAGAACUUCCUGAUAACGCCAGGGUGAUAGUUUGUCGAUUUCCAUUAACUGGAUGGUCACCAACAUGCACUGAAGGUUCAGGGUUGGACCAGUCCUGGAGCUCUUAGAGCGGAUGAGGGAUAAAUCACACUUACAGAAAAGCAGGAGGCUCCUGUGAUGAGCUAUGAGAACUGGCUGGAUGCGAGACCAAGAAUAGGUAUACAUUUUUGAAGAUUUGGCAACCCUGGUUAGACUUCAUAGCUGACAGGAACUGAUAAUAAUUAUUUGUGCACUGUCUCACUAAAAUGUUUUGUUGUGUCUCCCAGCACAGUCUCUAGAUUGAGAACAAUAACAGGGCCUAGGCUGUUACACAAGGAGAGCUCAGUAGGAAUGUAGAAGGUCACCAUCCCAGGACUGGUAUCUGCUCCUUUGUGUGAGGAGAAAUACAGCCAAAGAAUGACCCUAAACAUGAUACUGGUUGUAAAAGUAGACAUAUUCUUUAAGUUUUUAUGUCAAGGAAAGCAUGGGAUUUGGAGCUAUUUAACACGUGCCAUUUUUGUGUUGGAAGCUGUUACCGUGUACUACUACAUUCAGAUGAGGAUGGCCACGCUGACUGAAGACCAGAGAUAUGUGUAAAAGAUGAAGAGCGCUUUGCUUAGAUCUCCAGUAUCUCGGUAACCAUGUACAUUACAUCACCAGGCAUAUCUCCACUCGCCACUCCAUUAUAAGAUCUAUUAUAGCAGGGAUCGGCAACCUACCAGCACUCCAGCUGUUCUGAAACUACAACUCUCAGAAUCCUCCUUUCACUUCUAUGGGAAGUUACAAGAAUAGCUGAGCAAAUGUGCACGCUGGGAGUUGUAGUUUCACAGCAGCUGGAGUGCCGAAGGUUGCUGAUCCCUGUCUUAAAGGAAAACAUUGUUGUUCUGGAUACAGGGUUUCUCAACUCCGUUCCUCGGGACCCACCUACCAGUCAGGAUUUGAGAAUAUCCCACAGAAUGAAUACCUGUGGUAAGUCCUGAUGCAUG
Molecule: RNA transcript, 1584 nt
Organism: Bufo gargarizans (Asiatic toad)
Lineage: Eukaryota; Metazoa; Chordata; Amphibia; Anura; Bufonidae
Gene name: adenine nucleotide translocase lysine N-methyltransferase-like
Exons: 8
Source: RefSeq, a predicted model, not a curated record